This 361-nucleotide ribosomal RNA is filed under the name Noricella scheerpeltzi. Its description in RNAcentral is "partial 16S ribosomal RNA". The record is from RNAcentral. Lineage: Eukaryota; Metazoa; Mollusca; Gastropoda; Stylommatophora; Hygromiidae.
AAAAGGUAGCAUAAUCAGUUGGCUUAUAAUUGAAGUCUAGUAUGAAUGGGAUACCGGGUAUCAGCUGUCUUAAUAAUAUUUAUAAAAGUUUUUUAGUAAGUGAAAAUCCUUACCAUAAGAUGAAAGACGAGAAGACCCUAGAAAUUUUAUAUAAAACAAACAUAAUCUAUUUUGUUGGGGCGACAAGGGAAUAAUUAAAUCUUCCUGUUUCUAUAUAAGUUACUAUUUAGUAGAAAGAAUAAAUUACUCUAGGGAUAACAGCAUUAUUUAUUAUUAAGUUUGUGACCUCGAUGUUGGACUAGGAAAUAAAUUACUUAGAAGGUAAUUUAUAUAGCUCUGUUCGAGCAAUUAUCUCCUACAU